CCUGGUGCAGAACCAGCGAGAGGGAGCCCAGCUACCUGUGUGUGACUUCUGCAGGCACAAUGGUAAGUCGCCACCUCAUCUCUUCCUUUUGUCCAAACUGACGGUAGGUGAAGGUGCACCAUGGCUGAAGAGUGCAUCUGUCCCUCUGAGGGCCUCAAAGGCUGGCCAUUCACAUCAGGCAGCAGUGCCUUCUACACUGGAAGUGAUGCGAAGUCAGUUCCCAGGAACAAAAUAUUGUACAAGGAAGUGCUCCCAACCUUCCCCUUCCUCUGUCUUCUGAGGAGGUGUUGGUGUAUUUGCUGCUUAUUAAGGGCAGAGUAAUUAGAGAUCCAUGACAAGGUGCAGAAAAAUGUUCAAGGACGUGUCACGUACCCUUCACCCAGUUGUCCCCAAAGGCAUUGCAGUCCUAGCAGAAGGAGGAUAUGCACUGCAGGGGUCUGAAGAUCUCAGGUGCAGGCUUCUUUGAACUUCUACCACUCAGUUACCCAGGAUGCACUUUGAUUUCGGGUCUCAAACCACUUGUGUACCCUGUAUGCGAAGCCCCUCAGUAUUGGAAGCCCAAGUCUGCUCAGGGUGGGGUCUUAUAAUUAUAUUGAGGUGGUCACAAAGGCACAUUACAGCUACGUGACCAGCCUUAACUUCUAACAUCCCGCAGGCCUCAUUAAGGUACAAAUAACAAAUUCAGUGAUUACUGAACAGUGUUGACAGGCUGGUGGUCCUGCUCUGAAUCAACUCACUACCCAUGAUUGUUUUUUUUUUUAAUUAUUUAUUUAUUUAUUCAUGAGAGACAGAGAGAGAGGCAGAGGAAGAAGCAAGCUCCCUGUGAAGCAGGGAGCCUGAUGUGGGACUCGAUUCCAGGACCCCGGGAUCACAAUCUGAGCCGAAGGCAGAUGCUUAACCAACUGAGCCACCCAGGCGCCCCACUACCCAUGGUUUAGAACAUUAUUUAUCUUUAGUUAAUGUAGUCCACAGUGUUGGCCAAGGGUCAAUACCUUGAGUUAACCCAGAUCAGCUGAAGUUAACCUGCGCUGUACAAAUAUUAUAGUUCUAGCUUGCACAUUUAUGUUUAUGAUCCAUUUUGAGUUAAUUCAAUACAAGGUGUUGACGUUGUAUCUUCCAACCUGUUAAACUGGUCCGUGAAGGUUUUAGGGGUCUAGUGGUUUGUGGCAUGCUUAGAUAUUCCCUCCAAAAUAAAAGGCAAAUGAUUAUAUCUCAUACUUCCCUCCAAUAAGAAUGAAGCACAAUGUUGAGUAGGCUUCUUUGGGUCUGAGGUUGGUAGAUUCCAUGGGUGGGAAUGUUGCUCUGGCCCAUUUACUGAAUUACAUGGAGGGCUGUUGGUGUUGACUGGGGCCGUAAGCAGGAUAGGGCUCUGUAGUGAGUCAGGCUGUGUUGCUGGCGGCCCUGCCACUUGCACCAUAUAGUCUGGCAGACCUUACGUAUUUGUGUUAUCUGUGUUAGGAAAAGAUGCUAUCUGGCAUUUAUGGCAAGCCCCUGAGAGAAUCACAGUGUUGGCAAGUAGGGUUCUGGAUCAAGGCCAUGUCAUCUGUAAUUGAGAAUUAUAUAUGUAUCAUCCAAAAAACCCAACCAACCCAACCCAACAGCUCCUGAUGUGCUAUUGGACCUUGAUGGAGACAGAACCCAGCAAGAGAGUUCAAGUGACUCUACAGCCAGAACUGCCCAUCUUGAGCUGGGGUCUGCCAGACCCACCAAGUCAUCCGGUCAGUGGGCCCAACAGCAGUUUAUAGUAAGAUGGUAGCAGCUCAUCCCAUGUUGGGCACGUGGCUGACAGGGCCAGGCGGCACAAGUCAGCUGCACAAGCAGGUGGUCCAGGCCCCGUGUCAUCCACUAAUGUUGUUGCAUCAGGGCCUCUCAGCUUGUAACUGGGGCUGCAUGAAGGGUCCCUUAUAAACAGCUUAUAGAGGAGGGGAGAAAGGGGUCAAGCUUGAGCCAUGAGUGCGUGGGUUGAGAUAAGCCAAACAUGCUGCUGUGCUACGGCCUCACAGAAGGUGGCCCUGAACAACAGUGGUGAGGGGCAGAAGUUCAGACCGAGUAACUGGUCCUUCACUUUUUGUGGAAAGAAGUGGACUGAGCUUGGAAUAUAUAUGAGCUCAGGGCAGUGACUUGGCUUGGCUAGUUAAGCAGGAAUCUAGAAGGAGAAAGGUAGAGGAUGUGGUUGAUUGAAAAUUGCACCUGCAUCCUCCAAAGAUAUGUCCAUAUUCUAAUCCCGAAACCUUUGGAAAAAGGGUCUUUACAUAUGUAAUUCACUUAAGUAUUUUGAGAUAAGAGCAGCUGGGUUAUUGGGUGGGUCCUAAAUGCCAUCACAAUUAUCCUUAUCACACAGAGAUGGAGAGUAGACACACACAGAAGAGAAGACCACGUUGGGGCGCCUGGGUGGCUCAGUUGUUAAGCGUCUGCCUUUAGCUCAGGGCGCGAUCCCAGCGUCCUGGU
Molecule: long non-coding RNA, 2448 nt
Organism: Ailuropoda melanoleuca (giant panda)
Lineage: Eukaryota; Metazoa; Chordata; Mammalia; Carnivora; Ursidae
Exons: 4
Source: RefSeq, a predicted model, not a curated record